RNAcentral lists this long non-coding RNA (1140 nucleotides) under Equus asinus (donkey). RNAcentral describes it as "lncRNA (ENSEASG00005031828.1)". The record is from RNAcentral. Lineage: Eukaryota; Metazoa; Chordata; Mammalia; Perissodactyla; Equidae.
CGUUCUUAAAGGCCAUGGCAUUCUCUAACUAAUCUCUCUGCUCCCUUUCACCUUUGUCCAGUGUGUCCUCUGAAGCUGGUAACCUGGCAGUAUUCAAAACUGCCGGAGAGAGUUCUGAAAUGAACAUCUGAUCAUGUCUGUUCCUUGCUUUAAAAUCAUUCAACUCAAGUCAACUGACUUUUAUGUACUGGAUGAAGCAGGUGCCUUGGCCAUCAGCUUCCCAUUGGAUGUGGCCAAUGGGAAACACCUCACGAGAUGGAGACUGAAACUCUGUGGAGUUAUCAUCAGGCAGACUUCUGGUUGGGUUCAACAACGGUAGGCACUAGCCGGAAGUUGGAGGAAAGGAGGAAUAAGAAGUCAGGUAUUUCCAUGGCCACAGUCCUCCCUGAGUUAUGGCAACAGUGCUCCCUGUCUUGUCUCUUCAGGCCCAUGGGUAGUAAAGCUUUCUUGUGUUAUUUCUCCUCCCUGAAGGCUUCACUAUACCUAUUGAGUUUCCUUAACUUUGUCCACUUCUCUGUAAAUAAUGCCUUUCAGUAAUCUCUUCAAAUAACCCUUUGAGCGUAUCAUCUAUUUCCUACAGGAGUCCUGACUGAUACACACUAUCAGUGGGAACAGAAAUAUAGCUGUCAUAAAUAGACAGAUUAUUGGAAUAGAUAAGGAAGUCCACAAACUUAUAGAAAUUUAGUAUAUAACAAAUGUAGUAAGAAUAUUACUUGGGUUUCCCCAAGUAAUAUGAAAUAUUCAAUAGAAGUAUGAAAUAUUCAAUAGAUAGUGUUGGGGUAUCUAGAUAAACUUCUAGAAAAAAAAAUGUUGGUUGCCUCCCUCUCUCUUAAAUCUCCAAAUGGAUCAAAGACACAAAUAUUGAAAAAAAUCUUGAACCACUAAAUAAUAUAAUAAAACAUGAGCUUUUCAUAAGUAGUAAUCUCAGAUAGACAAAAUCUUUUAAGUAUAUACAAAACACUUAUCAUAUAUGAAUUCAAGAACUUAAAAAUAGACUACUCAUUCUUAACAGAGAAAUAAAUAAAAAUCCAUCUCAGACAAACUCAAAAGUGAAAUAACAACAAAUGGCAAAAUCAAAAUGGGAAAAAUAAUUCAGAUCUAAAUAAAGUACAAAAGCAUAAUUUCUUCUGUAUAUUAAAG